AGAGGUUGGCUAAAUUUAUAGACAACAGCUGAGCAUGGUUGGAGUUGGGUUUUUGGAGCUGUUGGCUAAAUUUUUUUAUUUUAGGUAUGCCACCUCACUUUUUAGCUAAGGGCUUUAGAUGGUUGGAGAUGCUCUUACCACUACAGUUACGUUUCAAAAUUCAAAACAUUGUGCUCUAACCUCUCCCGCGUGCGCUGCGAUUAUUUCCGCCGUCUCGCCCUUUUCACGCAUCUUGGCAGCUGUUCUCCACCUUCUCCGAGGCUUGCUUUUAUUCAAAUUUGAAUCCCGCUAAGCUUGAUUCAAGGAUAUUUUGAAGAGUAUAGAUUUAUGAUUUGAAGCGCAGCUGUUAAAUCAAUUCUCCGAUUUUAUCUCUCUCUCGCAGGAGUUGGCAAUGGCUGAAAAGAUUGACCGCAUGGAACUUGCUUUUAAAUCCCGAGACAAGGCAGCUGGAUUUUUAUCACAUUCUAUAUGCUACUAUAUGAUUAUCUUUUAGAAAAUUGAUUGUGUAUAAGAUUUAUCAGCAAUUUAUCAGCAAUUCUGAAUAUACUAUAUACUAUAAAAUUAGUUCAUAUUUACUUUCUUUUUAUGUCUGAAAAUAUAGUAUGCAUUUUCUGUUGAUGCAGGGGAUUUUCUACUUGGUUGAAAUAUGUACUUGGUAUGGCAUUUAGAAGAGACAACGAGCCUUUUAAGGUACACAGAUUGUUGAAUAUUUUGUCAAUGCCGAUGAAUUGUGCACGAGGACUCGAGGAGGGAAUAUGCACGAUGGUUAGCACGGACAAACUUGCUACUGGAGAGGAAAAAUAAGCAUAAGGUUGUUCCAUCUAAUGCACUUUCCGGAUCUACAAUCUCUGCAUUUGACGACGUGAGUUUUGAAGACCCUGAUUUUCUGUACAUACAAUCUCUUGCUGAAGCUGGCAUUGUUUUAAGUAAGCUGUCUGUGGAUGAUUCCAGUUGGCAAAAAGGUGCAAAAAUUUUCCCAGAUAGAUUUAUAUCUCGCCAGGAUCCCAUAAGUUGGAAAGCCAAGCUAGAUUAUGAAGUCAUGCCAGGAUUAAGGGAAGAGUCCAGAUAUCAAGGAAGAGCUUGGGUUUUAUGGAUGUAAGGGAGAUCAAUUCAUGCAAUAGUUGUACUUUUCAAGGAAUUGCUUGCUGGUGACAAGAGCAUAUACAGAACAGUUUUUGGUCUCUCUCUCUGUCUCUGUGUCCUGGAAAAUGAUCUCCACAAUUCCAAGAAGAGGGCUUUCUUUCGACAAUUUCAUUACUCAAGUGCCUGAAUUCCAUGUUAGGACAUUUGCUGCGGAUCAUCAAAUUGUUGUGAUGAAUUUGGCAAUCAUUUAUUUGAAUUAGUCAGCUCCUCGGGGGAAUUCCCAUCAGUUUGAAACAGAGUACUGAAGAUAUUAGCUGUAGUGCUCUAUGCCGAGAAUGAAAAAGGAGUCUAAAGAGUUUGCCGAGAGCCUUUUGAUGCACUAACCUGAAGGAGGAACAUUACAGGAGAAUUGAUCAACAAAGCAGAGUUGAAAGAGUUCUGGGAACAAAUUUCUGAUCAAAGUUUUAAAUCCAGGCUUCGAACUUUCUUCGACAUGUGGGUAGGAAAAUAUGAUAUUUUAGUCCUCAUAUGCAGCAAGUUCAAAUUUAUUUUUGUCAAAAUAAAAUUAGUAGAUUAUCUAAUUCAUAAAAAUAAAUUAAUAUGCAACAAAUUAUAUAACUAAUUUAUUGAAUUUGGGCAUGUUUGUCUACUUCCUGUUUUCAAUUCCAAGCUUAUGUUUUUGGAGCUUUUGAGUUGCUGAGUAAAAUAGUGGAGGACUUUGAAUACCGGAGAAUUUGUCAGGCAGUUGAUCAAGGUAAUGAAAGCACUUUGAUUUCAGAAAAUGUAUCGUCUUUCUCAUAAAUUAUUUGCUUUGUCAGCUGCGAAAAGGCUCGGGUAUGAUACAACCGGUGGUAAGAGAGGCAGCUUUACUGUCUCCACUCAUAUUAAGAAUCAUUUCAAUUGGACAGGGUUUAAUGUAUGUCAAUAAUCCAGAUUGACUAGAUCCAUGUAUUAAACAAGAAAUUAAUCCACCAUCUUUGCAAGGUGAUUUGAAGUGGAGCUGAAGGAGGUCAAGUUGAGAGACGGCUAUUAUGUGAUGGACCCUGAAAAGGCUGCAGAAAUGGUUGAUGAGAACACCAUUUGUGUUGCAGCUAUUCUAGGAUUCACUCUUAAUGGAAAAUUUGAAGAUGUAAGCUCUUAAAUGACCUCUUGGUUAAGAAAAAUGCAGAAACUAGAUGGGAUACACCAAUUCAUGUGGACGCUCCUAGCGGUGGGUUCAUUGCCCCCUUUUUUUUUACCUGGAACUGUAAUGGGACUUCAGCUUUUCUUCACAACUUUGCCGUUGUCCACCUCAGUUGUCAACUUCUGUGUCACCUUACUUGGGAGUGUGUCAAGCUCCUCGAGCACCUGCUUGAUAUUUGUAACCAGGCGUUCAGCCAGAGUUCUUGAGAGUCCUCACGGAUAACUACACGAAGCACAGUAACAUGUUGGGCAUCAUGAGGCAUGGUGUAAGCUGGCACAAUCCAACCAUAACGCCUUAACAUGUUUGAGACUUUGAAUUCAUUGUGUAGGCUACGAUUUUUCGGAGAGAAUUCAUUGUAAUUUUUGGCACAGAUAUUGAUGGCUAAUUUCAAAUUUUUAAAACAACUCAUUUUUUAUUUUAUAAUGAAAAACAACUAAUAUUUGGGUCUUGCA
Molecule: long non-coding RNA, 2718 nt
Organism: Daucus carota subsp. sativus
Lineage: Eukaryota; Viridiplantae; Streptophyta; Magnoliopsida; Apiales; Apiaceae
Exons: 12
Source: RefSeq, a predicted model, not a curated record